AAGGAUUUAAGUUAAAUAAAACUAAAAGCCUUCAAAGCUUUAAAUAAAGAUAAACCUUUAAGCCUUA
This 67-nucleotide transfer RNA is filed under the name Bostrichoidea sp. 3 KM-2017. Its description in RNAcentral is "tRNA-Trp". The record is from RNAcentral. Lineage: Eukaryota; Metazoa; Arthropoda; Insecta; Coleoptera.